CCUACGGGGGGCUGCAGUGGGGAAUAUUGGACAAUGGGCGAAAGCCUGAUCCAGCCAUGCCGCGUGUGUGAAGAAGGCCUUCGGGUUGUAAAGCACUUUCAGUGGGGAAGAAAGCCUUGGGGCUAAUACCCUCGAGGAAGGACAUCACCCACAGAAGAAGCACCGGCUAACUCCGUGCCAGCAGCCGCGGUAAUACGGAGGGUGCGAGCGUUAAUCGGAAUUACUGGGCGUAAGGCGCGCGUAGGCGGUCUGAUAAGCCGGUUGUGAAAGCCCCGGGCUCAACCUGGGAACGGCAUCCGGAACUGUCAGGCUAGAGUGCAGGAGAGGAAGGUAGAAUUCCCGGUGUAGCGGUGAAAUGCGUAGAGAUCGGGAGGAAUACCAGUGGCGAAGGCGGCCUUCUGGACUGACACUGACGCUGAGGUGCGAAAGCGUGGGUAGCAAACAGGAUUAGAUACCCCAGUAGUC
This 465-nucleotide ribosomal RNA is filed under the name Vreelandella stevensii. RNAcentral describes it as "partial 16S ribosomal RNA". It matches the Rfam family "Bacterial small subunit ribosomal RNA", at positions 338 to 795 of the family's 1533-position model. The record is from RNAcentral. Lineage: Bacteria; Pseudomonadati; Pseudomonadota; Gammaproteobacteria; Oceanospirillales; Halomonadaceae.